CUGCCUGAAACAACGGACUGGAGCCCGACAAUAUGAGCUUUGGACACAGUCUCCUUUCCCAGCGACUUUGCAGGAAAUACUUGCCAAUACGCGGCGGCAAGCUUCGCCGACAGGCUGGAGAAGGCUUAGGCGUUGUGGGCUCCGCAGCCGAAAGAGUCAUUGUUGCCUGUUUGUGACAACCUUCCCCGGGCACUCCCGAGCCGACUGGGAGGAAACGAGGGAAGGAAAUGCCGGUGUCCUUAUGCGGAGCAAAGUUCAGAGCGGCUGAGUCAGGACCAACGGCUGUGGCUCAGACUCCACGGCAGUUUUAAUCCCGAGCCUGGGCCUGGGUCGGAAGGUCUGUAAUUGGAAUGGGGGCAGGUGUCCAGCCUGCACCCAACAGCUGGGAUUUAAUUUGGAUGACUCCCGACAUUGAAAUGUUAUUCUGACUAUUGUAGAGUCAAAAAAUAAAAAUAAAAAAACAGACAGGGCAGGAUCUCAAGAAAGGCUUCCUUCUGUUUUUAAGAAUU
This is a long non-coding RNA of Pipistrellus kuhlii (Kuhl's pipistrelle), 509 nucleotides long. RefSeq lists it as uncharacterized. NCBI's taxonomy places the organism in Eukaryota, Metazoa, Chordata, Mammalia, Chiroptera, Vespertilionidae. The record is from RefSeq and is a predicted model, not a curated record. The transcript has 2 exons.